AUACGUAGGGAGCGAGCGUUGUCCGGAAUUACUGGGUGUAAAGGGAGCGUAGGCGGGAGUGCAAGUCAGAUGUGAAAUACAUGGGCUCAACCCAUGGGCUGCAUUUGAAACUGCAUUUCUUGAGUGAAGUAGAGGUAAGCGGAAUUCCUGGUGUAGCGGUGAAAUGCGUAGAUAUCAGGAGGAACACCGGUGGCGAAGGCGGCUUACUGGGCUUUUACUGACGCUGAGGCUCGAAAGCGUGGGGAGCAAACAGGAUUAGAUGCCCUGGUAGUCCACGCUGUAAACGAUGAUUACUAGGUGUGGGGGGACUGACCCCUUCCGUGCCGCAGUUAACACAAUAAGUAUUCCGCCUGGGGAGUACGGCCGCAAGGUUGAAACUCAAAGGAAUUGACGGGG
RNAcentral lists this ribosomal RNA (396 nucleotides) under uncultured bacterium. Its description in RNAcentral is "partial 16S ribosomal RNA". It matches the Rfam family "Bacterial small subunit ribosomal RNA", at positions 523 to 918 of the family's 1533-position model. The record is from RNAcentral.